GACAGAGGUGCCAAGCGUUAGGCGGAAUCACUGGGCUUAAAGCGUGUGUAGGCGGGUCGUUAAGUACCUUGUGAAAUCCCACGGCUCAACCGUGGAACGGCUGGGUAUACUGGCGAUCUUGAGCCACCUAGGGGCAGUCGGAACAAGUGGUGGAGCGGUGAAAUGCGUAGAUAUCGUCAGGAACGCCAAUGGUGAAGACAGGUGACUGGGCUAGUUCUGACACUGAGGCACGAAAGCGUGGGGAGCGAACGGG
RNAcentral lists this ribosomal RNA (253 nucleotides) under uncultured bacterium. Its description in RNAcentral is "partial 16S ribosomal RNA". It matches the Rfam family "Bacterial small subunit ribosomal RNA", at positions 524 to 776 of the family's 1533-position model. The record is from RNAcentral.